UAUAGGGACGCGGUCGGCGAGGCGCGGGAGGCACAGGAUGCGGAGAUCACGGCGGGGAUGACGUGGCCGGCGAGCACGGCAAGCGCGCGGGCGUCGCGGUGAGGAUUGGGCUCCUGCCCGUUGGGGAAGAUGACCCCCUGACGGGUGGGGCCCGCCUGUCGAUCGCACAGCGCGCUGGCGCUGGCAUUGGGUCGGUCUGGUUCGGCGGCUUGGGCGAGACUGGGCCGGUUCGGCCCAAGCGGUCGGACCGGUCCGGUUUACUCUUUUUUUUUUCCUUCUCUUUUUCCCUUUUCCUUAUUUCUUUGAUAUAUUUUGAUUUUGAACUCCAAAUUGAUCCAAAUAAGUUCCAAAAAAUUUGUAAAAUCAUGUUUUACCAUGAUUCAACUUUUGCAAGUAAUUUCCCUUCAAAAUAAAAUAUGUAAAAAUACAAUUGCCCUAUAAAUGCCUUUAGGGUUAUAUACCUAUUCGAAUAAAAUACUUUUUCAACUCCAAAUAAUUAUCCAAAAAAAUAUGGGAUAGCUUAUAUAUGCAUUAAACCCCUUUUAUAUAUAAACCUUAAUGGUUUGAAGAUCGAAAGCUCAAAUAGGUGUAAACCCUAGGGUUUAAAAUGAAAUAAAAAUCUUUCCAAAGCCUUUUGAGAUUCAAAGUUGAAUUCAAAUAUGCAAUUGUGGCAUGAUGCUCAUGGAUGCAAUGCAUAUGUAAAAGUUUGAAAUUUUUGGGAUGUUA
RNAcentral lists this long non-coding RNA (726 nucleotides) under Brachypodium distachyon (stiff brome). Its description in RNAcentral is "long non-coding RNA (BDIS_LNC004617)". Lineage: Eukaryota; Viridiplantae; Streptophyta; Magnoliopsida; Poales; Poaceae. The record is from RNAcentral.